CUUGUUUUUAAAAGACCUAGCAAUAGGUAUGCUUAGGGAGGAGCUUGCGUCACAUUAGUUAGUUGGUGGGGUAAAGGCCUACCAAGACUAUGAUGUGUAGCCGGGCUGAGAGGUUGAACGGCCACAUUGGGACUGAGACACGGCCCAAACUCCUACGGGAGGCAGCAGUAGGGAAUUUUCGGCAAUGGAGGAAACUCUGACCGAGCAACGCCGCGUGAACGAUGAAGUAUUUCGGUACGUAAAGUUCUUUUAUUAGGGAAGAAUAAAUGAUGGAAAAAUCAUUCUGACGGUACCUAAUGAAUAAGCCCCGGCUAACUAUGUGCCAGCAGCCGCGGUAAUACAUAGGGGGCAAGCGUUAUCCGGAAUUAUUGGGCGUAAAGGGUGCGUAGGCGGUUAAAUAAGUUUAUGGUCUAAGUGCAAUGCUCAACAUUGUGAUGCUAUAAAAACUGUUUAGCUAGAGUAAGAUAGAGGCAAGUGGAAUUCCAUGUGUAGUGGUAAAAUGCGUAAAUAUAUGGAGGAACACCAGUAGCGAAGGCGGCUUGCUGGGUCUUUACUGACGCUGAGGCACGAAAGCGUGGGGAGCAAACAGGAUUAGAUACCCUGGUAGUCCACGCCGUAAACGAUGAGUACUAAACGUUGGGUAAAACCAGUGUUGAAGUUAACACAUUAAGUACUCCGCCUGAGUAGUACGUACGCAAGUAUGAAACUUAAAGGAAUUGACGGGACUCCGCACAAGCGGUGGAUCAUGUUGUUUAAUUCGAAGGUACCCGAAAAACCUCACCAGGUCUUGACAUGCUUCUGCAAAGCUGUAGAAACACAGUGGAGGUUAUCAGUUGCACAGGUGGUGCAUGGUUGUCGUCAGCUCGUGUCGUGAGAUGUUGGGUUAAGUCCCGCAACGAGCGCAACCCUUAUUGUUAGUUACCAGCACGUAAUGGUGGGGACUUUAGCAAGACUGCCAGUGAUAAAUUGGAGGAAGGUGGGGACGACGUCAAAUCAUCAUGCCCCUUAUGACCUGGGCUACAAACGUGAUACAAUGGCUGUUACAAAGGGUAGCUGAAGCGCAAGUUUUUGGCGAAUCUCAAAAAAACAGUCUCAGUUCGGAUUGAAGUCUGCAACUCGACUUCAUGAAGUUGGAAUCGCUAGUAAUCGCGAAUCAGCAU
This 1160-nucleotide ribosomal RNA is filed under the name Poland Brassica oleracea phytoplasma. RNAcentral describes it as "bacterial SSU rRNA". It matches the Rfam family "Bacterial small subunit ribosomal RNA", at positions 194 to 1355 of the family's 1533-position model. The record is from RNAcentral. Lineage: Bacteria; Bacillati; Mycoplasmatota; Mollicutes; Acholeplasmatales; Acholeplasmataceae.